Doryrhamphus excisus (bluestripe pipefish) is the source of this 6256-nucleotide non-coding RNA. The record is from RefSeq and is a predicted model, not a curated record. NCBI's taxonomy places the organism in Eukaryota, Metazoa, Chordata, Actinopteri, Syngnathiformes, Syngnathidae.
UUAUACGACGCAACAGCCAAAGGCCGCUCAUCACCCCAAGGCACCGAUACCAAGGACGGCUCCAUGUAGCAAACGACAGCAUUACCCACCGCCUCCGCUCCGCAGGCUCGCUUGGAUUCCGGCUGCAGGUCAAAAUCUUCCAGGACAGAGUAUGUCAUCUGCAACAGCUCACAGAAUCCUACGACCCCUUCUUGUCGGCACAUUCAUCCUGGGAUGCUUUGUGACUCUUUUUUUGAUGUAUUUUAAACCCUCCACCGGCUGGCUAUCCGGUCCCGUCGAGUCAACGGCAUCCACAGAGCGGGUCAAAGGCAUCUUCUACGCCAAGAGUGAUAAAAAUGUCACCACGGUACUCAUCUGGCUGUGGCCCUUCGGACAGACCUACGACCUGAAUGUGUGCGGCUCGCUCUUCAACAUCGAGGGCUGCUUUAUCACGGCCGACAGGAACCUCUACAACAAGUCCGACGGCGUCCUCAUCCACCACCGGGACAUCUGUUCGGACUUGUCCAACCUCCCCCCACUGCAGCGUCCGUCCUUCCAAAAGUGGAUUUGGAUGAACUUUGAGUCUCCGUCGCACUCCUCUCAGCUCUCCGGCAUCGAGAAUUUGUUCAACCUGACCCUCAACUACCGCCGGGAUGCCGACAUCGAAGUGCCUUACGGGUCCAUCGUGGCCGCAGAGGGCGAGGAAGACUUUGUCCCGCCCAGCAAAAACAAGCUGAUCUGCUGGAUCGUGAGCAACUGGAACCAAGAGCACGUGCGGGUCAAGUACUACAACGAGCUGUACAAACACAUCGAGGUCCACGCGUAUGGACAAGCCUUUGGGGAGUACAUCUCCGACCAGGACUACUUCCCCACCAUGGCCAGCUGUAAGUUCUACCUGGCUUUCGAGAACUCAAUCCACAAGGACUACAUCACAGAGAAACUCUACAACCCGCUUGCUGUGGGGACGGUGCCCGUGGUGCUGGGCCCGUCGCGCCAGAAUUACGAGAACUUCGUGCAAGGGGAUGCCUUCAUCCACGUAGACGACUUCUCUUCGCCCAAGGAGCUGGCCGACUACCUGCUGCUCCUGGACAAAAACGAGGAGAUGUACCUCAGGUACUUUGAGUGGCGGCGGCACUUUAAAGUGAAGAAGGCAUUAUUCUGGGCCGAGCACACGUGCCUGGCUUGUGACUACCUGCGCAGGCACAGGGAGUACAAGACGGUCAACAACCUGGACAAGUGGUUCUGGGGCUGAGACAGCUUUGCUGGACUAUGCAGAGUCGGUGUCACUGAGCUCAUUAGAUUCACGUUUCAUGCCAAUUUUGCCAAGCCUUAUUUGAUUUUUUUUUUGCCUUUUACAUUUGCUGUAUUCCCUGCGAAGUCACGUCCGUUCCGUCCGUGGCUCCAUAUGCCUACGGUACCGCAACAUUUGGUUCUCUAGCCACACAGAACAAGACCCCGACUGAUUUUAAACAACUCUUGAACGAAUCUCAGGGCAUUGAAUCGAUCGCAACUGGAUUGUUCAAGUUGUCUCAGAAGAUGUUUCGCCUCUCAUUCGAGCUAGCGCCAUCCGUUCGUGCUCAAGACUUGACAGAACAGCUUGUUGCAUUUGAUUCAUUGCCCUGAGAGUCUGAUGACCUGGAUGGAGGAGAAGAUCCACAGACAUGACUUCAAAUAUAUCAUGUUGACAUUUAAGCACAUUUUUGGGAGUGGGAAUUUGAUCAACUUUUACAGAUCACAGUUGCAUGGCUCAGGUGGUAGAGUGGUUGUCUCCAAACGUGAAGGUUUGCUGGUUCGUUCCUCGUUCCUCCUUUAAGGGGCAAGAUGAUGCAGCCUCAGCAGUUAGUAACUGUGGUAAAGUUCAACCUACCUUGGCUUGAACGUAAAAAAAAAAAGUGCUAUACGGUCCCAGAAAUUAAUUAAUUCAUAAAUGAUGGCGGGCAGCACGGUGGUCUAGUGGUUAGCGCGCAGACCUCACAGCUAGGAGACCAGAGUUCAAUUUCUGUGUGGAGUUUGCAUGUUCUCCCCGUGCAUGCGUGGGUUUUUUCCGGGUACUCCGGUUUCCUCCCACAUUCCAAAAACAUGCUAGGUUAAUUGGCCACUCCAAAUUGUCCAUAGGUAUGAAUGUGAGUGUGAAUGGUUGUUUGUCUAGAUGUGCCCUGUGAUUGGCUGGCCACCAGUCCAAGGUAUUUUUGACAACACGAUUGCAGCACUGGCAUACGACACGUAAAAAUGAUCAAUGCACCAAACAAAAGGCAGACGCACCCGGCUGAAGUAAAUACUACAAUCAAAUUAGAAACUUAGGUGCGCGUAGAAGAGGGUGUAAAAGUGAUGAAACACAGGACAGACCAACACAGGAAAAACUACAAAAUAAGAGCACGAAAGCAGGAACUAAGGCAGACAACGUGAAACACAAAAACUGUCACACAAGCAACGGUGCAGAUUGUGACAGAAUGAACUUUUUGAUAACUUUGAAGGUAAAAACGAGCUAAUCAAAGGAAUAAAAGACCAUCGUGAUGUGAACUCAAGCGGAGGAAACAUAAGUGAAGGACAUAACUGCAGUGGUAUACUUUUACCUCGCUUUCCAUGCGGCACCGGAAGUCACAUUCAUGGUAAUAACUUCCAGGGUGUCACGUUCGCGCUUGCGCUAUGCGAUGCGACGCCAGGAUGCAGAGAGCAGGACCAAUAUGCAGGUAAAAGGAAUUUAAUGGCACUUAAACUAUGCAUACAGCAACUACCAGGCAAACCAAACACAAAGACAAUGAAGCCACAAACGAAAGAGCACACACCUGAACUAAAUAGGGAGUGUGAAAUUAGAGACAGGUGUGUGAAAUGAGUCUGAGAGAAAAACGGAAGGGAACAAGAAAGGAAGUAGUUACAAAAAUAAGGGCAUGGAAACCGGAACUGAGGCAAAGAAGGAAACUAAGAGAGCUGUGUAAGGAUCACUUCCAAAUGUGCAAACCUCUGGGGCUGGGAUGCAUCAGGUUUUCCAAAAAAAAAAAACAAAAAAAAAAAAAACAUUUAUUAAAAACAGAAAAAUGAAUAAACUUUGCUUUGGUUCUGAUUUUCUACAAGAAAAGCUCUGAUAAAACAUUCCACUGUUCUCAAAUAUCUUACCUUUUAUUUUUCUAUACAAAAUAAGAUCAAGAAUAAAGAAAAUCAAUCAAUCAGUAAUAAAUAAAUAUAAUAAUAAUAAUAAUAAAACGGCAAAUAAUAAAAACUUAAGAAACCACAUAUAGUUGGUGGGUAGACAAAUGAUUUUUUUCAGAUUAAAAUGAACAAAGCAUUAUUAGAGCCCUGUAGACAUGACAAAACACGACUAUAGUCACAUUUAUACUCUUUUUAUUUACAACAUAUUGCGCAACUGCAGGGUCUUGAGACACAUGCUAACUCGCAAACUAGAGAGCUAGCGACCUAAACGGUAGCCUUCAAGUUAUUUCCUUUAAACUUAAAUAGCCAAAAACUUACCACUUCCACACGGAUCGGGAGGAUAACUAUUAACAGUUAUUUAACCUUUAACAUGAACAUUAAUCAAACGUAAUAAUUUUUUUGGGUACAUGAUACCAUACAGCAUCCAUAUCAAACUUGUGCUUGAGCUGUCACGAGGGGGUGAAGCCCGCUCGUGACACAAGGAUCACUUCCAAAUGUGCAAACCUCAUUAUUCGAAACUUUGGCGUCAUUUAACACGAGAAUACAAUAUUCUAACUACAUUUAUAGGUCAGAAAAGUGAAAAAAAAACAAUCAUAGGUCCCCUUUUACCUUUUCAAAACGUCCGCACUCUGGAUGUCUUUAGUGUGUAGAUGUUGACGGUGUUCCUAGCGUUCAAAGUUUUGGAUUGUGCCAAUGAAGCGGGUGAUUUUAUUAAUGAAGUAGAAGGAGCCAGAACACCAUCGGAAUGAACAUUUGUGGUUUAUUCCUGGAUAUUCAAAGCGAUAAAAUGUGUUCUGUUUGCACAUAAUGUAGACGUGUCGGCAUGACUGUUGGAUAAGAUCUCUGCAUACGAGUAUUUCCACAGUAUUUUAAAUGAUGCUACUUAAGCUGCUGCUGUAGCAUGUAGUGCAUCUCAAAUGUACUUUCCACGACACACACACACAGUGCAAUAUAAUGCGUGUGGGGGUAAAAAUAGAUGGUCCAGAAAGCCCAGAUAAGUGAUUGAUGAUAGCAAGGAGAGUGUGUUGUGGUGGUUACGCCUCAAUCCUCGAACCUGUUGUUAGUUACGCCCUAACCCUCGCAAGCACUCUAGUAUUUCCACUCCUUUACGCUCGUCUUUGCCUUGGCCGGAGUCAAAGUGUGUGAUAGCAGGAUCAGUGAUGUCAUUAAUCCACUGAUGUCAUUUGAGGAUUAAUGGAAGGGGUCAGUUGACUCGGGGAGGGAUUGUCCCGAUAGUUUGAAGGAGUCAGCGAAGUGUCAGUAAGUAGGCGGUUGCCUUUGGGUCUCGAGCACAAACCGAAAGUGUCACAAACCUGGUAUAUACAGAUACCGAGGUGUGUUGUUCAUUGACUGACUGUUUUAUCUCUUGUGUCUGUCCAUCAAUCCGUUCAUCAGUCCAUCCAAAAACAUUGAGCCACCAUUUAAUCAGCCAAUAUAUCUACCUGACUUCUUAUCUACCCAUCCCAUCUCACACAUCGACCUACCUACCCUAUCUGGCCAGCCAUUCACGGGACAAACCACACUACCUAGCUAUCUAUUGGCCAACCCAGCUCCGGUACUCAUCCGUCCGUCCAUCCAUCUGCCAAACCAACCGACCUCACAUACAUAUCCACCUACUCGUCUACCAACUCAUCUGUCCAUUCGUCUAUAGCAGGGGUCUCAAACUCAAUUUACCUGGGGGCCACUGGAGCUAGGGUCUGGGCGAGGCUGGGCCGCAUCAGGUUUUCAAAAAAAAAAAAAAAAAAAUGCAUUUAUUAAAAACAGAAAAAUGAAUAAACUUUGCUUUGGUUCCGAUUUUCUACAAGUAAAGCUCUGAUAAAACAUUCCACUGUUCUCAAAUAUCUUAAUUUUUAUUUUUCUACACAAAAUAAGAUCAAGAAUAAAGAAAAUCAAUCAGUAAUAAAUAAUCCAAACGAGCCUGCGGAGCGGAGGCGGUGGGUAAUGCUGUCGUUUGCUACAUGGAGCCGUCCUUGGUAUCGGUGCCGUCGGGUGAUGAGCGGCCUCAAAGAAAAUCUAUCAAUCAGUAAUAAAUAAAUAUAAUAAUAAUAAUAAUAAAACGGCAAAUAAUAAAACUUAAGAAACCACAUAUAGUUGGUGGGUAGACAAAUGAUUUUUUUCAGAUUAAAAUGAACAAAGCAUUAUUAGAGCCCUGUAGACAUGACAAAACACGACUAUAGUCACAUUUAUACUUUUUUUAUUUACAACAUAUUGCGCAACUGCAGGGUCUUGAGACACAUGCUAACUCGCAAACUAGAGAGCUAGCGACCUAAACGGUAGCCUUCAAGUUAUUUCCUUUAAACUUAAAUAGCCAAAAACUUACCACUUCCACACGGAUCGGGAGGAUAACUAUUAACAGUUAUUUAACCUUUAACAUGAACAUUAAUCAAACGUAAUAAUUUUUUCUGGGUACAUGAUACCAUACAGCAUCCAUAUCAAACUUGCGCGGGCCGCACUAACAUUAAACUUUCAUAUCAAGGUGGGGGUCUCAAACUAGUGUCCUGCGGGCCACAUUUGGCCCACGGGCCGCGUGUUUAGACUCUAUAGACUCUAUAGAAAUGUCAGAAGGAAUGCGCAGCCUACCUGUUUGCCCAUCCCGCCGCAAUUUACAAAUGACUCAUCAGUCCGUCGAUUAACCAAUCCCUGUAUCUAUCUGUCUGUCUGUCUGUCCAUCCGUCCGCCAGACCAGUCAAUUUGCCUUUUUGCUUUACUGACUUACCUUCUUGUCUGUCCAAUCUAUGUGGCUACUUUUCUACCAACCAAAUCUGUCCAUUCGCCUGUGGGACCGUCUGUACUACCUAUGUGUAGAACCAACCAAACUACCUCUUAGCAUCCACCUACCUGCCAAGAUCCAAAGGUGUCCAAAACCGUCCAAACACCCUCCAAACCUUUCUUUCUGUAUCUUGAUUAACCAUUGACCAAACUCCCGAAACGUACGACUACUGACCAACAUAUCCAUGUUGGGAUGUCCAGCCUACCUGUUUGCCCAUCCCGCCGUAAUUUACAAAUUACCCAUCAGUCCAUCGAUGAACCAAUCCCUGUAUCUGUCUGUCUGUCUGUCCGUCCGUCCGUCCAGACGGUCCCACAGACGAAUGGAUAGAUUUGCUUGGUAGGAAAGUAGCCACAUAGAUUG